AUACGGAGGAUCCGAGCGUUAUCCGGAUUUAUUGGGUUUAAAGGGAGCGUAGGCGGGAGAUCAAGUCAGCUGUGAAAUGUAGAUGCUCAACAUCUGCACUGCAGUUGAAACUGGUUUUCUUGAGUGCGUAAGGGGCAGGCGGAAUUCGUCGUGUAGCGGUGAAAUGCUUAGAUAUGACGAAGAACUCCGAUCGCGAAGGCGGCCUGCCGGGCCGCGACUGACGCUGAAGCUCGAAGGUGCGGGUAUCGAACAGGAUUAGAUACCCUGGUAGUCCGCACAGUAAACGAUGGAUACUCGCUGUCGGCGAUAUACGGUCGGUGGCCAAGCGAAAGCGUUAAGUAUCCCACCUGGGGAGUACGCCGGCAACGGUGAAACUCAAAGGAAUUGACGGGG
Molecule: ribosomal RNA, 393 nt
Filed under: uncultured bacterium
Lineage: Bacteria
Description: partial 16S ribosomal RNA
Rfam family: Bacterial small subunit ribosomal RNA
Source: RNAcentral